Long non-coding RNA from Leptopilina heterotoma, 631 nucleotides. RefSeq lists it as uncharacterized. The transcript has 3 exons. The record is from RefSeq and is a predicted model, not a curated record. Lineage: Eukaryota; Metazoa; Arthropoda; Insecta; Hymenoptera; Figitidae.
UCAUUUCCGGUUUCAAAGCGACAAGAAGGAAGUAACGAACUUUGGUGGAAAUGCUCGAAAGGGCAGACAUUUUGGAUUUCCUGUGGCGCAGCGAAAAGAUCGUGCUGAAGGUACAAAUUUGUGGAGAUUUACUCAAUUCUUGAGAUGGCGUCAUAGCAGCUCCCCGUGGCACAUGGUACAAUUUUACUUGCACGAGGAAAUGCGAAUAUGGACACAGGGAAAAAUCUGCCAAGAGUCACACGCAGCUUUUAUUAAUUCGAUUCGAUAAAAUUUUAAUGGACUUAUAUUUUCGGACAUGAUGGAAAAAAGUGUUUAUUUUUAUCCCGCUUUUACUGAAACGAUUGGAAAAAGUGUAUUUUAAUGGAAAUAUGAAUGGACUCAGUGUUGUUUGUGCGAACGGAGAAAAAAACUACGAAUUUUGACGCUGCAUUUCUUUAAUUGGAAACAUGGAUGGACCAAUUUUUGUGUAAAUAGAGGAAAAAACUACAAAUUUUCAAGCUGCUGUUAUCUUUUGGAAACCUGGAUGGACUAUUUUCGGACUUGGUGAUAAUAGUGUUAAUUUUCACGUCGCUUCUGCUCUGGAAUGAUUCACAUUUCAACUGAAGGAGACCUUUUUGCAGGAAGUAAAGUU